GACGAACGCUGGCGGCGUGCUUAACACAUGCAAGUCGAACGGAAAGGCCUCUUUCGGGGGGUACUCGAGUGGCGAACGGGUGAGUAACACGUGAGUAACCUGCCCUUGACUUUGGGAUAACUUCAGGAAACUGGGGCUAAUACCGGAUAGGAGCUCCUGCUGCAUGGUGGGGGUUGGAAAGUUUCGGCGGUUGGGGAUGGACUCGCGGCUUAUCAGCUUGUUGGGGGGGUAGUGGCUUACCAAGGCUUUGACGGGUAGCCGGCCUGAGAGGGUGAGCGGCGAUAGUGGCGAGGAAGCACGGCCGAGGCUCCGACGGGGGGACGAAGGGGGGAAUAUUGCACAAGGGGUGGGGGCCUGAUGCAGAAGCGCCGUGGGGGGUAGAGCGGCUUUGGUGUGGAAACCCGUUUGCGCCCGAACCAAGGCUUGGUGUGAGGGUAGGGGAAAAAGAAGCACCGGCUAACUACGUG
RNAcentral lists this ribosomal RNA (467 nucleotides) under uncultured bacterium. Its description in RNAcentral is "partial 16S ribosomal RNA". It matches the Rfam family "Bacterial small subunit ribosomal RNA", at positions 28 to 507 of the family's 1533-position model. The record is from RNAcentral.